RNAcentral lists this ribosomal RNA (466 nucleotides) under uncultured bacterium. RNAcentral describes it as "partial 16S ribosomal RNA". It matches the Rfam family "Bacterial small subunit ribosomal RNA", at positions 28 to 507 of the family's 1533-position model. The record is from RNAcentral.
GAUGAACGCUGGCGGCGUGCUUAACACAUGCAAGUCGAACGAUGAAGACCAGCUUGCUGGGUGGAUUAGUGGCGAACGGGUGAGUAACACGUGAGUAACCUGCCCUUGACUCUGGGAUAAGCGCUGGAAACGGCGUCUAAUACCGGAUACGAGCUUCCACCGCAUGGUGAGUUGCUGGAAAGAAUUUCGGUCAAGGAUGGACUCGCGGCCUAUCAGGUAGUUGGUGAGGUAACGGCUCACCAAGCCGACGACGGGUAGCCGGCCUGAGAGGGUGACCGGCCACACUGGGACUGAGACACGGCCCAGACUCCUACGGGAGGCAGCAGUGGGGAAUAUUGCACAAUGGGCGCAAGCCUGAUGCAGCAACGCCGCGUGAGGGACGAAGGCCUUCGGGUCGUAAACCUCUUUUAGCAGGGAAGAAGCGAAAGUGGCGGUACCUGCAGAAAAAGCACCGGCUAACUACGUG